This 421-nucleotide ribosomal RNA is filed under the name uncultured bacterium. Its description in RNAcentral is "bacterial SSU rRNA". It matches the Rfam family "Bacterial small subunit ribosomal RNA", at positions 358 to 771 of the family's 1533-position model. The record is from RNAcentral.
GGAAUAUUGGACAAUGGGCGCAAGCCUGAUCCAGCCAUGCCGCGUGGGUGAAGAAGGCCUUCGGGUUGUAAAGCCCUUUUGUUGGGAAAGAAAAGCAGCCGGUUAAUACCCGGUUGUUCUGACGGUACCCAAAGAAUAAGCCCCGGCUAACUUCGUUCCAGCCGCCGCGGUAAUACGAAGGGUGCAAGCGUUACUCGGAAUUACUGGGCGUAAAGCGUGCGUAGGUGGUUUGUUAAGUCUGAUGUGAAAGCCCUGGGCUCAACCUGGGAAUUGCAUUGGAUACUGGCAGGCUAGAGUGCGGUAGAGGGUAGUGGAAUUCCCGGUGUAGCAGUGAAAUGCGUAGAGAUCGGGAGGAACAUCCGUGGCGAAGGCGACUACCUGGACCAGCACUGACACUGAGGCACGAAAGCGUGGGGAGCAA